GGGUUGUGAGGUUAAGCGACUAAGCGUACACGGUGGAUGCCCUGGCAGUCAGAGGCGAUGAAGGACGUGCUAAUCUGCGAUAAGCGUCGGUGAGGUGAUAUGAACCGUUAUAACCGGCGAUUUCCGAAUGGGGAAACCCAGUGUGUUUCGACACACUAUCAUUAACUGAAUCCAUAGGUUAAUGAGGCGAACCGGGGGAACUGAAACAUCUAAGUACCCCGAGGAAAAGAAAUCAACCGAGAUUCCCCCAGUAGCGGCGAGCGAACGGGGAGGAGCCCAGAGCCUGAAUCAGUGUGUGUGUUAGUGGAAGCGUCUGGAAAGGCGCGCGAUACAGGGUGACAGC
This 343-nucleotide ribosomal RNA is filed under the name Escherichia coli. Its description in RNAcentral is "partial 23S ribosomal RNA". It matches the Rfam family "Bacterial large subunit ribosomal RNA", at positions 1 to 371 of the family's 2925-position model. Lineage: Bacteria; Pseudomonadati; Pseudomonadota; Gammaproteobacteria; Enterobacterales; Enterobacteriaceae. The record is from RNAcentral.